Long non-coding RNA from Polyodon spathula (Mississippi paddlefish), 340 nucleotides. RefSeq lists it as uncharacterized. The transcript has 2 exons. Lineage: Eukaryota; Metazoa; Chordata; Actinopteri; Acipenseriformes; Polyodontidae. The record is from RefSeq and is a predicted model, not a curated record.
AUCCUAGAGUAGCGGAAGACGCAAUAUUAGUGAGUGGGAGUUUUAUGUACGUAAUUUGUUUUGUGAGUGGUGAUAAUACAGAGCCGACCGAGCAGGUCCAGUUGGUUUGAGAUCAUGGUGAAACAAUGCUGCCCUUGCUUUUAUUUUAUUUAUUUUUAUUUUUUUGGGGGGGGUUAUUGAUUUAUUCCCUGUUAGGCCACGUGAACAGUAAAAUGAACAAGUAAUAUGUUUUCCUGUAAAAGGGCCCUUUCCUAAUUCACUGUUUUCAAUACACAAAGGUACUAAAUCUCCUUGUUUUUUAUGUUUGUCAGAACAAAAUAAAGAGGAAGCACUCAAUAUA